This 1270-nucleotide long non-coding RNA is filed under the name Bos indicus x Bos taurus (hybrid cattle). Its description in RNAcentral is "lncRNA (ENSBIXG00005028416.1)". Lineage: Eukaryota; Metazoa; Chordata; Mammalia; Artiodactyla; Bovidae. The record is from RNAcentral.
GCCCCUUCUCUGGACCCCUGUACAAUGGGGCCUUUGCCUCCUUCAGCACUCAGGGUGGAGAUGAACUCACUGACGGUUUCUCCAAGUUUAAAAAUAGCCCCUCCCAUCUCCCCCUGCCCCACCCACCACCACCAGCACAAGUCACCCUCCUCCUCUCCCAUGGCAUUUCUGGGGCGCAGCUCAGUCCAGGCCGCACCUCCUUCCUGCCUGGAGUCAGCUGUGGACGCUCUAGCUUCUGGCAUCUCAGAGAAACGGAGAAGCCCGUCUUAGACACCCUCCACCUCCUGCUCCUUCACCCUGUGCUGCCAUCAUUGUGCUUCCUCCUGCCUCCAGUCCCCUCUGAAGCCUCUCCAAGGACUUGACCUCUUUGGUUUGGAAUCCUAGCGGGCCCCACUCAAUGAAGCCUUCUUGAGGUUGUCUGCCCCCUGACCUCUACCACCUACUCCCUGGCAGCCCAGAUCACCCUGAGCUACUGGCUUCCCUAAAGGACAGUCUCUGUGCUAGUUUGGUGGGGACGUGUGGGACACAGAAGUCACCCUGAGCUCUGUCCUCACUUCCCUUUCACCGCAGAGGCAGCUCCACCACCCCCUCCUAGCUUCACUCUUCUCACAACGGAAGGAUUCUGACUGACCGUCCUUGGUGGUUAGCUGGCUUUGCUCUCAGGCUGGAGAGAGGAGAAUGAUUAGUUAAUGGUGUUAAGAGAAGGGAAGGGGGGUGGAGGCAGGGAAGCAGAAUACUAUGCCCAGCUCUGAGCUUGCCAGGGCAAACAGCAUCCUUCAGCCAUUCCCAUUCCUGCCCCUGCAGACAAAAACAAACGCAUCCAUUCCAUUCUGGGCCCUGGGCCAGUCCAUACAUUCACUCUGGGGGAUGAGGAAGCACCAUCCUUCUCUCACCCCCCCACCCCCACCCCGGGCUCCAGGCCCCUGCCUUGGCCCACCUGGCAUGGCCUCUGGCUGAAAAUUAAUGGAGACACAGGAGGGGAUCAGCAAGGAUCUGAAAGACGAGGGCUGAUGUGGCUCAAGAGUCAUCUCGGCGUCAUCAAAACACCAUCCGGGAGCAUCCUCUAAGUCACCUGCCCAUCUCUGGCAUUUGCUGCCUCACCCUGCUCCUCCCCCCAACCAGCGAGCGGCAAGGCUGCCCUGCCUAGGACAGGACUCUAUCCCAAAUCCAGGCCCCCUUUAGACCAUCCCAGUUAGAGGGGUCCCAGCUGAUGUGGACCCCUUUCCCAGGGUCAGGGAGCUGGGGGUCUCUCUCUAUGAGACAAGAAUCA